RNAcentral lists this ribosomal RNA (207 nucleotides) under uncultured bacterium. RNAcentral's name for it is "partial 16S ribosomal RNA". It matches the Rfam family "Bacterial small subunit ribosomal RNA", at positions 568 to 774 of the family's 1533-position model. The record is from RNAcentral.
CGCGUAGGUGGUUAGGUAAGCGAGAUGUGAAAGCCCCGGGCUUAACCUGGGAACGGCAUUUCGUACUGUCUGACUAGAGUAUGGUAGAGGGUAGUGGAAUUUCCUGUGUAGCGGUGAAAUGCGUAGAUAUAGGAAGGAACACCAGUGGCGAAGGCGGCUACCUGGACCAAUACUGACACUGAGGUGCGAAAGCGUGGGGAGCAAACA